Long non-coding RNA from Apodemus sylvaticus (European woodmouse), 1325 nucleotides. RefSeq lists it as uncharacterized. Lineage: Eukaryota; Metazoa; Chordata; Mammalia; Rodentia; Muridae. The transcript has 3 exons. The record is from RefSeq and is a predicted model, not a curated record.
CGCUCCUGGACAGUCCAUUCCCUUUUUUUUUCUCCCUCCGCCCAGGGAGGAGUGGGACAACUCCGAGCUAGAGGGUGCAAGCGGGACCCUGGGCGCAGGUGUAAAUCAGUCACCUGUGCGCCGAGGGGCUGCGGCGAGAGUGCAUGCGCGUGGGCGGUUGGGGCGUGGCGCAGGCAGCCAGCAAGGCCCGGAGCGGCCAGGCGGGGAGGGAGCAGGCAGAGCGGAGAGCUGAGGUGGCCGAGGGGCGGGGCCACUAAGAGGAGACCAAGAGGUGGGGGCUGCACUUAAGGACCAGCCUGCUGAGAUGAUCAACAGAAGAGAUUCUUGUGUCCUACAGACCAAAGAAAGAAUCAGCAGGAAUGCCCAGGGUGAAUGAUGGAUUGCAGAGCCUGGCUGGUAACUGUGAAUGAAGCUGAGGAGAGAAAUAAAGGAGAUAGUCACCAGUCUACACACUAUGGACCUGUCUACACAGACAGGGUGCAGUCCAAAGACUUCCAGGAAGAAACGGCACCUCUGCCUCCAUAUUCUUUAGUUCCAGAAAGGUGAAAAUUGACACACCGUUAAAACUCAAGGCAACCAAAGCUCCAUGUCCUCAACCAGAGCUCUCAUUUUAGGUCAGGAAAGUCUUUGCUCUGCAUCUUACCUGAUGAGAAGAUGAGAAUGUGUUCUUUGAGAUCCUUUCUUCCACAACAGAAAUAAGUGUUUGUUUUAGAAAAUUUGAAUUGGAUAUUUUUAACCAUCAGUCUCUAAGAUGCCUUGUUGAUAGAGUAAAUUUAAAAAUGAAUCUGUAUUGAAUCUGGACAAAUAAACCACAGUUUGAAGCUCCAAAAGAAAUGCAUACCAUUAACUGUCAUCUUUCAAUAUUAGUUUUCUCUGAAUGUAUGUGGUCAUAAAUCUUUCUUUAUGUUUCUGUCUAUUGGUAAUUUCAUACAAAUGGAAUUGUCUAUGUUAUUUUGCAUUAAUCUUCUUUCAUUUGCAGACCAUUUUAAAGCAUCAUUCACAACAUAUCUGUGCAUAACUGUGGAUAAUUAUGUAACUUCAAUAUGGGGGUUGCAGUAAAUUUGGCCAAAGCAGAAGACCCUGAAUAUACAGCAACAAAAUCCCUGAUGAUUCAAAAGCAAACACGUGAUGAGUUUAUUGUGUGUCUGUGGUCUUGCUUGCACUGUGGUGCCCUGUCACUUCAUUGCAGUCUGCAUUCGGAAGCACAAGAUUUGCAACGUCUUCUACAGUCCCUCACACCCUGUGGGCUCACCGGUGGCCUGACAUACCUCAGCUCAGGAUUGAAACUAUUGUAUGCAAUUAUUAAAUUCAGUGCUUUUACGAAA